This 249-nucleotide ribosomal RNA is filed under the name uncultured bacterium. RNAcentral describes it as "partial 16S ribosomal RNA". It matches the Rfam family "Bacterial small subunit ribosomal RNA", at positions 15 to 244 of the family's 1533-position model. The record is from RNAcentral.
AAUCCUGGCUCAGGAUGAACGCUGGCGGCGUGCCUAACACAUGCAAGUCGAACGGAACUAUUUUGGAAACUCCUUCGGGAGCGGAAUCUUUAGUUUAGUGGCGGACGGGUGAGUAACGCGUGAGCAAUCUGCCUUUAAGAGGGGGAGUAACAGUCGGAAACGGCUGCUAAUACCGCAUAAAGCAUCAAAUUCGCAUGUUUUUGAUGCCAAAGGAGCAAUCCGCUUUUAGAUGAGCUCGCGUCUGAUUAG